Molecule: ribosomal RNA, 484 nt
Filed under: Entoria koshunensis
Lineage: Eukaryota; Metazoa; Arthropoda; Insecta; Phasmatodea; Phasmatidae
Description: partial large subunit ribosomal RNA
Source: RNAcentral
GUACGUGAAACCGUUCAGGGGUAAACGGGAGAAAUCCAGAAUUCGAAAGGGAUCGAUAUUCAACUGCACCCGGCAAAUCCAGUCUGCCUGCCGUAAGAUGGAUGCCAGUACGCCAAUGGUGAUUAAUUUCGCUUGCGGUGAUGCGACUGGCCGAGACUCUGCGGAUUUGGCGUGAAAUCUUGAGACCGGGGCAGCGCUUUUCGUCCCUAGUAGAAACGUCGCGACCCGUUGGGUGCCGGUCUAAGGCCUGGGCAGGAGCCCGUGCAUCACGGCGGUGCUAAGCCACCGUGGUCGCACGGACGUCCGGUGACCCGGCCGGCAGUUCGACGGUAGGACCAGAGGGGUCGACACGCUGAUUGGAAAGCAUUAUGGGAUGUGAAGCGUCCGGCCCUGCUGCGGCGAGCGCGAGCUCAGUCUCGCCGUCGUAUGUAGGUGUCCUCGGACCGUGUCGAUACCCCUGUCCGCGGCGCACUCAUUCGGAUAU